AAGAUUUUGUAAGGACGGAAAUUCAUUCUGAAGAAAACUGCAAAUGGAGGAGAAUCAAUAAAAAAACAAUGACACUUAAUUGUGGAUGGAAAUGUAAACGGAAAACCAUAACCAAAAAGAUUGUUACUGGAGCAUUGAGCGUCGACAUGACCCAACGGAAACAAUUCUACGUAGGCAGUGCUACUGUGGGAAGUACAGAACUCAUGUCGGUUCGAAGAUCGAUGGAAAUGAUUAAGAUUCGAUGAGGUCACAGAAGAGGACGGUAGCAUGUAUUCUAUCUAAAAGCUAUAAAGUCAAAACACAUUCCUGUAUAAGAGAACUAUGAAACUAAACUUUUUGUUGAGCAGCUUAGAAAAUAUACUUUACAACCGAUAACAUUAUUCAAAUUAGAUAAAAUAUAGUAGUUUUCUUGUAAAAUUAAAUCAAGUAGGUUUUCUGUUGAUAUUUGGUAUGCGGUUAAAAUAUAAAUUAUUAUAACAUUAAUAAUAAUAUUUUUUAUACAAUCUUAAAGUGUAAAGUUAGUAUAGGCCUAUUUAUUUUAGGCAUAAUCCAGAAUAAAAUCAUAUAAGUCAUAUAAGCCUAAGUCAGUGAAAUGAAAAAUACAAUAAAACAUUAUAAAAGUCUCAUUUGAAAUUAAGUUGUUCGUUUAGAUGAAACAUGAAAUUCAAACUUGAAUAUAGAAAUGAGUGUAUUCAACAAAUGUUUACCCGUAACUUUACUGCGAAAAUGAUAGAAACACUUCCAGUCAUUGGAAGAGUUUUUAUUAUUAAAUGGGUAAUUUUUUUUUAAAUCUAAUAAUUUAUAUGCUCAAGUUAAAAAUGUGUAUGUUAUGAUUGCAAAAUGUGCAAGGUAAUUAUUUUUUAAAAAUUAUUUUCUGUCAUUUUCAGGGGACAGUACGUCUUUAGGUCUGUUAAGAAAAUUCUCUUUACCAUAGCACUUCUAUAAUAUUUUUCUACACUAUUACAUUUCUACAAUACUUUACUUAUUUUGUAUUUAUAUUACGUUGUUAUUGUUGUUAAUAUGGAUGGAUGUCGUGCGACAUAACAUGAAUAAAUAUGUGGGCCUAUUGUUAUUGGUUCACAGUUCAUUAAAAGUGUUUUCCCCCUUUAGCAGUUCAUUCCGCACGAUGUAAGACCUAUGUAGGUGUCAAACCCUACCGGUUUAGCUACAGCAUUAUUAAUAUAUGUGAUAUUUGCGGUACACCACGUAAAUAGUUUUAAAAAGAUUAUUAGCAUAGAAUUAUAAUUGACCUAUACUGUUAUAAAGAUGAAGUCCAACUGAUAUAAAAGAACAAAUAAAGUUAUUUGGUCAAAUGACUUGCAUGAUAUAA
Long non-coding RNA from Anneissia japonica, 1330 nucleotides. RefSeq lists it as uncharacterized. The record is from RefSeq and is a predicted model, not a curated record. NCBI's taxonomy places the organism in Eukaryota, Metazoa, Echinodermata, Crinoidea, Comatulida, Comatulidae. The transcript has 2 exons.